RNAcentral lists this ribosomal RNA (468 nucleotides) under uncultured bacterium. RNAcentral's name for it is "partial 16S ribosomal RNA". It matches the Rfam family "Bacterial small subunit ribosomal RNA", at positions 28 to 507 of the family's 1533-position model. The record is from RNAcentral.
GACGAACGCUGGCGGCGUGCUUAACACAUGCAAGUCGAACGGAAAGGCCCUGCUUUUGUGGGGCGCUCGAGUGGCGAACGGGUGAGUAACACGAGAGUAACCUGCCCUUGACUUUGGGAUAACUUCAGGAAACUGGGGCUAAUACCGGAUAGGAGCUCCUGCUGCAUGGUGGGGGUUGGAAAGUUUCGGCGGUUGGGGAUGGACUCGCGGCUUAUCAGCUUGUUGGUGGGGUAGUGGCUUACCAAGGCUUUGACGGGUAGCCGGCCUGAGAGGGUGACCGGCCACAUUGGGACUGAGAUACGGCCCAGACUCCUACGGGAGGCAGCAGUGGGGAAUAUUGCACAAUGGGCGGAAGCCUGAUGCAGCAACGCCGCGUGCGGGAUGACGGCCUUCGGGUUGUAAACCGCUUUCGCCUGUGACGAAGCGUGAGUGACGGUAAUGGGUAAAGAAGCACCGGCUAACUACGUG